This 440-nucleotide ribosomal RNA is filed under the name uncultured bacterium. RNAcentral's name for it is "partial 16S ribosomal RNA". It matches the Rfam family "Bacterial small subunit ribosomal RNA", at positions 338 to 795 of the family's 1533-position model. The record is from RNAcentral.
CCUACGGGAGGCUGCAGUGGGGAAUAUUGGACAAUGGGGGAAACCCUGAUCCAGCGACGCCGCGUGAGUGAAGAAGUAUUUCGGUGCGUAAAGCUCUAUUAGCAGGAAAGAAAAUGACGGUACCUGACUAAGAAGCCACGGCUAACUACGUGACAGCAGCCGCGGUAAUACGUAGGGGGAACGCGUUAUCCGGAUUUACUGGGUGUAAAGGGGGCGUAGACGGCAGCGCAAGUCUGGAGUGAAAUGCCGGGGCUCAACCCCGGAACUGCUCUGGAAACUGUGAAGCUGGAGUGCAGGAGAGGUAGGCGGAAGUCCUGGUGUAGCGGUGAAAUGCGUAGAUAUCAGGAGGAACACCGGCGGCGAAGGCGGCUUACUGGACUGUAACUGACGUUGAGGCUCGAAGGCGUGGGGAGCAAACAGGAUUAGAUACCCCGGUAGUC